RNAcentral lists this transfer RNA (92 nucleotides) under Candidatus Cloacimonadota bacterium. RNAcentral's name for it is "Candidatus Cloacimonetes bacterium tRNA-Ser". It matches the Rfam family "tRNA". Rfam says of the family: Transfer RNA (tRNA) molecules are approximately 80 nucleotides in length. Their secondary structure includes four short double-helical elements and three loops (D, anti-codon, and T loops). Lineage: Bacteria; Pseudomonadati; Candidatus Cloacimonadota. The record is from RNAcentral. RNAcentral also lists the same sequence under 1 other name.
GGAGAGAUGACAGAGUGGUUGAUUGUGACGGUCUCGAAAAUCGUUUCCGCAAAACUUAGUGGACGUGGGUUCGAAUCCCACUCUCUCCGCCA